Molecule: ribosomal RNA, 2786 nt
Filed under: human gut metagenome
Description: bacterial LSU rRNA
Rfam family: Bacterial large subunit ribosomal RNA
Source: RNAcentral
AGCGUACACGGUGGAUGCCCUGGCAGUCAGAGGCGAUGAAGGACGUGCUAAUCUGCGAUAAGCGUCGGUAAGGUGAUAUGAACCGUUAUAACCGGCGAUUUCCGAAUGGGGAAACCCAGUGUGAUUCGUCACACUAUCAUUAACUGAAUCCAUAGGUUAAUGAGGCGAACCGGGGGAACUGAAACAUCUAAGUACCCCGAGGAAAAGAAAUCAACCGAGAUUCCCCCAGUAGCGGCGAGCGAACGGGGAGCAGCCCAGAGCCUGAAUCAGUGUGUGUGUUAGUGGAAGCGUCUGGAAAGGCGCGCGAUACAGGGUGACAGCCCCGUACACAAAAAUGCACAUACUGUGAGCUCGAUGAGUAGGGCGGGACACGUGGUAUCCUGUCUGAAUAUGGGGGGACCAUCCUCCAAGGCUAAAUACUCCUGACUGACCGAUAGUGAACCAGUACCGUGAGGGAAAGGCGAAAAGAACCCCGGCGAGGGGAGUGAAAAAGAACCUGAAACCGUGUACGUACAAGCAGUGGGAGCACGCUUAGGCGUGUGACUGCGUACCUUUUGUAUAAUGGGUCAGCGACUUAUAUUCUGUAGCAAGGUUAACCGAAUAGGGGAGCCGAAGGGAAACCGAGUCUUAACUGGGCGUUAAGUUGCAGGGUAUAGACCCGAAACCCGGUGAUCUAGCCAUGGGCAGGUUGAAGGUUGGGUAACACUAACUGGAGGACCGAACCGACUAAUGUUGAAAAAUUAGCGGAUGACUUGUGGCUGGGGGUGAAAGGCCAAUCAAACCGGGAGAUAGCUGGUUCUCCCCGAAAGCUAUUUAGGUAGCGCCUCGUGAAUUCAUCUCCGGGGGUAGAGCACUGUUUCGGCAAGGGGGUCAUCCCGACUUACCAACCCGAUGCAAACUGCGAAUACCGGAGAAUGUUAUCACGGGAGACACACGGCGGGUGCUAACGUCCGUCGUGAAGAGGGAAACAACCCAGACCGCCAGCUAAGGUCCCAAAGUCAUGGUUAAGUGGGAAACGAUGUGGGAAGGCCCAGACAGCCAGGAUGUUGGCUUAGAAGCAGCCAUCAUUUAAAGAAAGCGUAAUAGCUCACUGGUCGAGUCGGCCUGCGCGGAAGAUGUAACGGGGCUAAACCAUGCACCGAAGCUGCGGCAGCGACACUAUGUGUUGUUGGGUAGGGGAGCGUUCUGUAAGCCUGUGAAGGUGUGCUGUGAGGCAUGCUGGAGGUAUCAGAAGUGCGAAUGCUGACAUAAGUAACGAUAAAGCGGGUGAAAAGCCCGCUCGCCGGAAGACCAAGGGUUCCUGUCCAACGUUAAUCGGGGCAGGGUGAGUCGACCCCUAAGGCGAGGCCGAAAGGCGUAGUCGAUGGGAAACAGGUUAAUAUUCCUGUACUUGGUGUUACUGCGAAGGGGGGACGGAGAAGGCUAUGUUGGCCGGGCGACGGUUGUCCCGGUUUAAGCGUGUAGGCUGGUUUUCCAGGCAAAUCCGGAAAAUCAAGGCUGAGGCGUGAUGACGAGGCACUACGGUGCUGAAGCAACAAAUGCCCUGCUUCCAGGAAAAGCCUCUAAGCAUCAGGUAACAUCAAAUCGUACCCCAAACCGACACAGGUGGUCAGGUAGAGAAUACCAAGGCGCUUGAGAGAACUCGGGUGAAGGAACUAGGCAAAAUGGUGCCGUAACUUCGGGAGAAGGCACGCUGAUAUGUAGGUGAAGUCCCUCGCGGAUGGAGCUGAAAUCAGUCGAAGAUACCAGCUGGCUGCAACUGUUUAUUAAAAACACAGCACUGUGCAAACACGAAAGUGGACGUAUACGGUGUGACGCCUGCCCGGUGCCGGAAGGUUAAUUGAUGGGGUUAGCGCAAGCGAAGCUCUUGAUCGAAGCCCCGGUAAACGGCGGCCGUAACUAUAACGGUCCUAAGGUAGCGAAAUUCCUUGUCGGGUAAGUUCCGACCUGCACGAAUGGCGUAAUGAUGGCCAGGCUGUCUCCACCCGAGACUCAGUGAAAUUGAACUCGCUGUGAAGAUGCAGUGUACCCGCGGCAAGACGGAAAGACCCCGUGAACCUUUACUAUAGCUUGACACUGAACAUUGAGCCUUGAUGUGUAGGAUAGGUGGGAGGCUUUGAAGUGUGGACGCCAGUCUGCAUGGAGCCGACCUUGAAAUACCACCCUUUAAUGUUUGAUGUUCUAACGUUGACCCGUAAUCCGGGUUGCGGACAGUGUCUGGUGGGUAGUUUGACUGGGGCGGUCUCCUCCUAAAGAGUAACGGAGGAGCACGAAGGUUGGCUAAUCCUGGUCGGACAUCAGGAGGUUAGUGCAAUGGCAUAAGCCAGCUUGACUGCGAGCGUGACGGCGCGAGCAGGUGCGAAAGCAGGUCAUAGUGAUCCGGUGGUUCUGAAUGGAAGGGCCAUCGCUCAACGGAUAAAAGGUACUCCGGGGAUAACAGGCUGAUACCGCCCAAGAGUUCAUAUCGACGGCGGUGUUUGGCACCUCGAUGUCGGCUCAUCACAUCCUGGGGCUGAAGUAGGUCCCAAGGGUAUGGCUGUUCGCCAUUUAAAGUGGUACGCGAGCUGGGUUUAGAACGUCGUGAGACAGUUCGGUCCCUAUCUGCCGUGGGCGCUGGAGAACUGAGGGGGGCUGCUCCUAGUACGAGAGGACCGGAGUGGACGCAUCACUGGUGUUCGGGUUGUCAUGCCAAUGGCACUGCCCGGUAGCUAAAUGCGGAAGAGAUAAGUGCUGAAAGCAUCUAAGCACGAAACUUGCCCCGAGAUGAGUUCUCCCUGACUCCUUGA